CGGCCAUUGGGGCGGUGUCCGACCUGGUCUCAUUCCGAACCCAGAAGUCAAAUCCGCCACCGCCGUUGUGUUAGUGAGGUGCGCGAGCCCUCGCGAAGCAACGGUGCCG
RNAcentral lists this ribosomal RNA (109 nucleotides) under archaeon HR06. The record is from RNAcentral.